AACGCACCUUGCACUCUGUUCUGCAGAGUAUGCCUGUUUGAGAAUCUAUAGUAUUUUUCAACGGUUGUUGAAGAUUUGGGCAUUGUUUAUUUAAACUGGCCUUGAAUUAAAUUCUUGAGGUUGUUUGUAUGACGACGUAUUGAAUUAGAGAGAUGAAGGGUUCGCCCAGCUUCCUUUAAUUUCUGUACUAGUACAGCAACUAGAAAGCUCAUUCUUUAUAAAUUCUUGGUCUCAAAUCAGGUAGGAAGACCCGCUGAACUUAA
Molecule: unclassified non-coding RNA, 263 nt
Filed under: uncultured fungus
Lineage: Eukaryota; Fungi
Description: sequence contains ITS2
Source: RNAcentral